UACGAGGGGGGCAAGCGUUGUCCGGAAUUAUUGGGCGUAAAGAGCUCGUAGGCGGCCUGUUGCGUCUGCUGUGAAAUCCCGGGGCUUAACCCCGGGCGUGCAGUGUAUACGGGCAGGUUGGAGGCAGGCAGGGGAGAAUGGAAUUCCCGGUGUAGCGGUGAAAUGCGCAGAUAUCGGGAGGAACACCGGUGGCGAAGGCGGUUCUCUGGGCCUGUACUGACGCUGAGGAGCGAAAGCGUGGGGAGCGAACAGG
Molecule: ribosomal RNA, 253 nt
Filed under: uncultured bacterium
Lineage: Bacteria
Description: partial 16S ribosomal RNA
Rfam family: Bacterial small subunit ribosomal RNA
Source: RNAcentral